CUUCAGAGGAGGCUCUUCUGAGGCUUCUGCCAGUGGUCAAAGCCUCCAACAAAGCUCUACUCAGUCACUGUAACCUCUCAGAGAGAAGCUGUGAAGCUCUGUCCUCAGUUCUCAGCUCUCAAGCCUCCUGUCUGAGGGUGCUGGACCUGAAUGAUAACAACCUGCAAGAUUCAGGAGUGAAGCUUCUGUCUACUGGGGUGAACAGUCCAUACUGCAAACUGGAAAUUCUGCGGUCAGAUCAAGUGAUAUUAGGGUUUUUUUUUUCAUCAAUUGGCAAAAAACUCUGAUAAGUAAACUUCAUUCAUAUGUGUUUGUACUUUUAGUAUUUCAGUCCAAGUCAGAGUAAACUGUCACAUUUCUGUCUUCUUUAAGAUGAGGCAAUGAGGAUUCCAGCAAGUCCUGAAAAAGUAUUAAAUACUGCCAAAUCCAAUAGCUUCUAACUGCACCAUCAAUAGACUUUAACACAAGUGUUUUUUGUCUUCCCGUUCAACAAUUUUCAGGCUGAAUGUCUGUAACCUGUCAGAGAGAAGCUGUGAAACACUGUCCUCAGUUCUCAGCUCCGAGUCCUGUAGUCUGAGAGAGUUGGACCUGAGUAACAACAACAUAAAGGAGUCAGGACUGCAGCUUCUUUCUGCUGCAGUGGAGAGUCCAUACUGUACACUGGAAAUUCUCAGGGUGCCCAAGAAAGUCCAGCAGGUGCCAGGACCAUAUCCUAAAAGAUGAGUUAGCUGCAGGAUCAGGGUUCUACCAGUGCAAAGCUUGCUCGGGAAUGGCAGGGGGCAGGUGUAAGUGCAUCUGGAUGCACAGUGAGGUGAAGACGGUGUCAAGAAGUGUCAAGAAGGGCAGCUAAAAAGCAUCAGGUACAAACUGAUAUUCUGCAAAAAAGUACAGCAUGUCGACUGCUGAAGACUGGGAUAAAAGUCAUUUUCUCUGAUGAAGCCCCUUUCCGAUUGUUUGGGGCAUCUGGAAAAAGGAUUUUCUGGAGAAGAAACGGUGAGCGCUACCAUCAGUCCCGUCCCAUGCCAACAGUAAAGCAUACUGAGACCAUUCAUGUGUGGGGCUGCUUCUCAUCCAAGGGAGUGGGCUGCCUCACAAUGUUGCCAAAGAACACAGCCAUGAAUAAGCAAACAUCCUCCAACAGCAACUUCUUCCAACCAUCCAAGAACAAUUUGUGAAUAUUUUGUAUUGACCAAAUUUUGUAUAGAGCCGUUUCUAGGAUCAUGUGAGUACCAUGCCAUAAGUACCAAGUAAUAACUAAGUGGCUGGGGGAACAAGUCAUUAAAACUUUGGGUCCAUGGCCAGGAAACUCCCCAGAACCAAAUUUAAUUGAGAGUUUGUGGUCAAUCCUAAAGAGGCAGGAGGACAAACAAAAAUGACUAAUUCUGACAAACUCCAAGCAUUGAUUAUGAAAGAAUUGGCUGCCAUUAGUCACGAUUUGGCCCAAAAAUUGAUUGACAGUAUGGCAGGGCUAAUUGCAGAGGUCUUAAAAAAGAAGGACCAACACUGCAAAUACUAUCUCUUUGCAUGAAUGUGAUGUAAGUCUCAAUAAAAGCAUUUGAAACUUA
This is a long non-coding RNA of Oreochromis aureus, 1565 nucleotides long. RefSeq lists it as uncharacterized. The transcript is spliced from 3 exons. Lineage: Eukaryota; Metazoa; Chordata; Actinopteri; Cichliformes; Cichlidae. The record is from RefSeq and is a predicted model, not a curated record.